ACUUAUAUAAUAUAAAAAAUAUAAUUGACUUCCAAUCAAAUAAUCUAGAAAUCUAGUUUAAGUA
Molecule: transfer RNA, 64 nt
Filed under: Phaolus metallicus
Lineage: Eukaryota; Metazoa; Arthropoda; Insecta; Coleoptera; Cerambycidae
Description: tRNA-Gly
Source: RNAcentral